This is a long non-coding RNA of Panicum virgatum (switchgrass), 5248 nucleotides long. RefSeq lists it as uncharacterized. The transcript has 2 exons. Lineage: Eukaryota; Viridiplantae; Streptophyta; Magnoliopsida; Poales; Poaceae. The record is from RefSeq and is a predicted model, not a curated record.
AGCGGUGUCCACGGGCGCUGGUUCCAAUCGCUUCCAGCCCCGGCAUUUUCGGUGGCAGGGGCAGCGAGGCGCGACGCGGAGGUGGGGGUAGCUUCCUGACGGCCGACACGUCCCGGCUUCACCUUGCCACGUGCACGUACUCCACAUUAUUUUUGACUUUUUCCCAGAACUGUCUACGGUAGGUAAUCUUUAGAGAAUUUUUAUUAGAAAAAUAAAAACCGUCUAUCUGGCAGAAUCAUAUAGUGAUUAGUAGAAAGUAUCUAGAAAUAUUUAGAUUAAAGUAAUUGGCGGUAUAAAAAUGUAAGACCAAAUAUCAAGAAGUGAGAUCAAAUACUAAUUAAAUUUAAUUUUUAUAAAUAUUUUUUAUUGAUUAAUAAUUAGAAAAAAUUAAAACAAAAGUACCUGAAAGUAUCUAUUGAGACUACUUUACAAUCAUUAUAAUACUAUAUAGUAUUGAGCUAUUUCCUGAGAGUAGCAUCGCGGAGCAACUUUAAUUUGUUUAUCUCCUCUCAUUCAUGUUGGCGCCCGCCGCGGGUGUCCAUCGUGGCCAAGACGCAAAAAUUAUGUGCGCCGUCCAAUAGGGAUCCGCCGAGUUCCUUGUUUACCGUCCGGUAGCUGUCUCCUGGACGUGCAUUGGAAGGACAAAAUCAAAGAGAAACAACAAAGUGCAUUUUUUUUAUUUUGAGCAUAACAACAAAGUGCAUUGAAAGGCAUUAGAUUAGCUUCGCAUCCCACGGUCGGCUGUUCUUCCGGAAUCUUACUUCAGGGUGCUGCUGCAUUUAUCCUACCUGAAGUAUUGAGCGCGCGUCGUUCGCCAUUGUUCAUUUUCUUCACUGCGCGAAAAACUUGCACUGCCGGCGUUAUAAAUUUUUAAAAUUUACAAAUACACAGGUUCCGAUGGCGAACCAUGGGAAUGGAAGCACAAAUGCCAAUGGUACAAGGCUCAAAGAUGAAUAGAGGACAACAAUGAAGGAACUAAGCAUCCUAAGGCUAAGUUUGGUUUCUUUCGGUUUAAGUCAUAAGUCCCGUCACGUCGCAUGUUUACACACCAAUUAAGAGUACUAAACAUAGAUUUAUUAUAAAACUAAUUUUAUAAGUCGUGACUUAAUCACGAGACGAAUCUAUUGAGCCUAAUUAGUUCAUAAUUUGACUACUAAUCGCUACAGUAAUUAUCCACUAACUGUGCAUUAAUUAUACUUAACUAGUAGGGCGGCACGUGUUUUUCGAAAAUCAGGUGAAAUAAAAUUUAUGUUUAUAGAAAAUAUUUGCAAUGCCCACGAGUCUUCCCCAUGAAACCACAAUUACCUAGCAUAAGAAGGUUGUAGCAGUGUCCAUGUGCGGCACACACAUGUUUUAAAAUCAAGAGAUUUCCCUCGCAAAAAAAAUCAAGAGAUUUCCCUCGCAAAAAAAAAUCAAGAGAUUUCUAGCAUAAAUCCGCAUGCGGCAUGUACAUAUUUUAAAAAAUUCAGAAAAUAACCACUUUAUAUUUAAAGCAGUGAUUGAUAUGUGACAAUUAUAUAAACAACCUAGGACACAAGAUAUUUAGAUUAAUUAACCAACAAUUUAGCUUAAAUCAUAAUCCAUACCAUAAUUAUUUUCAUCCACACAUUAUAUUAUAUGUAUCUUUAAUAAGGUUGUGUGUUGUGUCCAUCCAACAAAUCCACGCACAUAACAAUCAACAAACAUUUAAGUGACGGAGAAGAGGAAUCUUGUUCAACUUGGUUCCUUCUUUGGGAUAAGAAAAUGUGAGUACAACUCGGUAGUUUGGUUUCUCACAAAGUAAUAAAUUUAAAAGCUUGAAUUGGAUAGAACAUUAUAAAAGUGCUACAACCCCACGAGUACUGCCUUUUGGUCUGUCAUCCAUCCAUGGCAAUGGAUGAAGAAGACAUUUCUCACAUCACACUACAUGAUCUCACUGAAAUUACAAUCUAAUAUGAUGUCCAGGUAGUAGCACCAGACCUUGCCCCCUCCUUGCCAUGACAUCUGAAAAAUAUUGCUCUGGAUAUCCAAUACAAAAAUUAGAAACUAAUUCAAAAGUUGGAAUUUGAAACUAAUAUGUUUGAUAGCAUACCUAUUAGACAGUAGACCUCUUUGACAAUAGGGUAGUAUUUUGAAAUAUAAGGGCAGGAAGAUAAUCCAUGUAAAUAAUUGGGAGAACAUGAUUUAAAUAGACUGGGUUUGAAAUUACAUAUUUCACAACCUUGCUAUGAAUCUGCACAUUAGCAAAGUGUGACCCCUAACCUUAAUUCAGGUGUAGCAGUUUUUCUAUAAAUGCUUGAACCUUAAAUUGACUGGGUUCAAUGCCUAAAUUUUUCUAUAAAUAAAUUAGGGCUUCAUUUAUACUAAGAAACCGUGUGUAGUAGUUUUGAUGAAUAAAAUAUAAAAGUUCAGCUACUUAAAUCACCAAAAAAAAUUCUUAUCAUACCAGGCAUGUUCUAUUACUGAACUGUCCUCAAUAAGCCUAUGAAGGAAAAAUAGAAGAAUCUAGUAGUAAUAUAAUUCAUCGACAAACAACACAAGAAAUAUUUUUUAGCUUGAAGUUUAUAAACCUGCCAUGUAUUUUCUUAUCAAUAUUGCUUUGCAAUUGAAACAACACUGCAGCCAUGUUAGUGGGAUGAAUAACCUGCAAGUGAAACAACUUUCUCUUAUGCUCCUGAGUUAAGUGGAACAUCUCAUCGUGAGUGGAAUGAAUAACAUGCAACAUUAACCAGAUUAUUGGCCAUGGAGGAUAAAUACCAGCUUCUUAGGAUUGAAAAGGAUGUGAAUUCAUAGUCAUGCUUUCUAAGAUAUUUUUGUAAUUAGCCAAAUGAUCUAGUGCUUGACCCAAACUCAGCCAUGUGUUCUGUUCAAGUGAGAAAGCAGUGGAUCCUGUAAACAGUAGAGCCUUUAGGAGUGGCAAGGGCACAAACCGAUACAAGCAGAUCAACCGGUACAUCGCUUGCCUGCUACCCACCCUUGCCAUUGGCUCCACCCUUGCCGACCUCUUCCUCCCAAGCAUUGACCAAACAGUUGUGUUGCAUGCCAUCUGCACAAUUUAUUUAACAUAAGCAACUGUAGAAAAAUUAAUCUAGCAGUACUCCUACCAUGAAGGCCAUUGUUACUUUAAGAGAAGCUCAUUGAUCUACAAAGAAUGAGAAAAUAUAUUAAAUCGAUCAACAAGAAACUACUCACACAUCUAGCAAGAUCAGGAAAAAUUCAAAAAUAGGAGGAUUGCCAAUUUGACCUUAAAUAUGAAAGAUAGGACCACAUAACAAGAUCAAAGAUAAAUAAGAUUUUUAUAUAUGUUUCACACAAAAGAGAUAUAAUCCAAAACUGAAUGAAUAUAAACAAAGCUAAUAGUGCAGGCAAGAUAAAUCCUCACAGCAGAGCCUGUAUUAUUAAGCUUACACUUUGCACCCAGCAAAGCAGCCAUUGUUUUGUCAGAAACAUGUAACCUUUGGUCUACCGAUUUCACCUUUCCAUUGACAACUGAUAUCCCAUUGUUUAUCUUCUGCGAAAGGCCAACACGCUUAUCAGAGGAAUUGAUCCUUGCUGAUGCAUUAGCUCUCAACUGAUGUUUCUCAUCAAAUGCUUUAGCCUUGUUCACAACAUCUUGUCUCAUUGUUGAACCCCUUGCAAUCACAUUUGUCAUGACAUCAUGGGCCUUGCUCACAUAGAUAUCACUAUUGGAGCUGGCAUUGGCCUAUUUGGCAAGACAAGAGAAUAUUUUAAUUAAUAACUGCCAGCAUAAUACACUUUGUAUGAAAUAACAUGAGACAAGAUUAUGAUACACUUUGCAUAACAAAUUGAUACCUAAAAUAAUCAUUUUAAUCAACAGCUGAUAUUUUUAACGGUGGUACCCCUGGGUACCUUGCAACAUCAUAAAACAACUCAAAUAACAAAUAUGCAUGUAGGUUCCAGUUUAUUUAUUUAGGUUUCAAAUACCUAGCCACUAUUCAGUAAAAAAUGUGCAAGAUGUUGGCACUUGAUCAGCAUUGAUCCCUACAACCACUCCUUACAAGAGACACCCUUUUUCAAUCUGCCAUAGCCACUCUGGAAGGCCUCAUGAUCUAACUACCAGGGAUAAAAAACUAAAAAAUUGCAUUGGCAAUUAAAAGUACCUCUGGAGAGAGGAGUCCUCCAGGAGCUGAACUUGUACUUGUUUGAAACUAAUUAUACAUCACCUCUACAGGAACCUAAUGUACUCCAUGUUAUAAGAAUUUCAUCAAGAAUAUAGCCAAGUGGACAAAUCAAUAAUAUAUAUCUCGUGUUAGUGAGCAUCAAAUGGGUAGAUAAAAAAUAUAUACAAUUACAUUAACUUCUCGAAAUUAUUCAUUACGGAGGACGUAAAAGAAAGGUAUUUUUUAUUAAAAAAACAUUACCCAUCAAGUCAACAUCCAAUAGGGAAAAUUUAGAAAGCUGGACUACAAAAUUAUAUUAUAACAAAUAAAAAAUUAUAUCUAUAAAAAAUAAUAAGCAGUAAUAUAAUAAAGGUAUACACGAGGCAAGGACAUAUCUGUAAUAAAUCCAAUAAACAAUUUGAAUUGGGCAACCAGUUUAUCAACAGGGAUCCCCAACCCCUAAAUGCUUAUUAUCACAACCAACAGAAACAUUAGAAAUUGCUCGUCAUCAAUGAACAAUAUAUAGAAGAUACUACCUGACAUCCAGAACUCCAAGCCACAAAAUCCGUUAACUUAGUAUCCCAAGUAUCAUUCUAUCUAUCAAGUACGGUGCAAAAUAUGUACGCACAUUUGUUGGCGUGUCAACCAUAGACGUCUUCGGCACUGCAAUAGAAGCUAAUGUGUACACCGUAGACAUAUGUGUUGCAGUGUCUGAGUUAUCAGGCUUGAUCAAUACAUCCCCACCUAUACUGUGCAUGAAAUUUUCAGCCAGGCUUGUUGGAGGAAUUUGACUCUUCUCUGCAGAUGGAAUAUUUCUAGCAGGCUUAUCCUCAGGAGCUCUGGCUGCAGGUUUGUCGAACGGUUUCACAGGCUGAGCAGUAGAGGAAAGAUCAAGCCGUGCUUUCUUGGAUAAUUCCAUGACAUCUUUCAUCUCUGUAAGACAAAAGAAGAACACAAGGCAGACAAGUCUGAUUUAAUUAUCUCAAGAAUUUGUAUGCACACAUAUGCAUGGAAGAAAAACCAUGUGUGUCAAAACACUCAAAUAUAAGACCUAGAUAUUCAAAGAGGCACAUAUAGAUCACAAGACAAGGGGCAUUAUUGCUGGCCUUUACAUGUGCAUUUCGAAAGGAAGUUUCUAAUUUGUGUAA